AUGGCGCCCAAGGCCGGCCCCAUCCCCGCCGUCAGGCACGGACAAGGAGGCGGUCGUGGGUCCCUACUGGACCCCGGCCCCACGCCGACGGGAACCCAGGCGGCCGCGGGCUCACUCACCAUCUUCAGUCCGCUGUCCGCAGUACCUCUCAGCCCCGUUACCGUCAGCGGCCCGCUGCUCACUUCCGUUUCCGGGCCCGCCCCCCAUAUCCGCCGGAAGUGCGUCCUUCCGGGCGAGGUAGGAAGAAGGGCGCGGGCGCCGGGAGGGAACUGCACGAGGCCGGCGCUCCCACGCCUGUGGUCCCCAGGGACCCGGGCCAAGGGCUCUGGGAAGCUGCGGGCUGGGAGGAGGGCGGGUUGGGACGAAACGUGCCGGAGCGGAGGGAAGAUGCGGCCUUCAGCUCUGCUGGUUGGAAUAACACAAUGAGAACAUCAGGGCAAAGACAGGGAUUGGCUUGCCACAGAAAGGAGGCCAGGAAGGCUGUGUGUCUUUGCACGAUUGCAUAGCUUCUUUGAGCCUUGAGACAGUCAGGCUUCUGUGUCACCUUGACCAGAUGAUGCUGUCCAGCUGUUUGGUCAAGCAGGCACUGGCCAAAUUGUACUGUGAGGACAUUUUAUGGACUUAAAUCCUCAGGGAGCUGAUUGCAUUUAUGACUGAUGACAUCGACAAUUAACUGAGAAAAUGGCCUUCGGCGGUGAAAGACAUCUUAACGAAUCAGUUCACACACACUGGCUAGUGAACGUGCCCUGAUGAAGGCCUUAAAAGGAUAAGUGAUUUCAGCAUUCAGGAGAGAGGAUUCUUCUUCAGUCAGCCAGCUUCUACCAGGGAACUCACCGAGGACCUUCAUCAGAAUUCCUGGCUUGCAGCCUGCCCUGCAGAACUUGCACUCGUGCGUCUCUAGUCAUGUGAGACACAUUUAUAAAAUUUCAUAAUAUUUACAGAUUUCUCCUGUCAGUUCUGCUUCCUUAGAGAACCAUGACUAAUAGAGGCAUACAGGAGUACAUAAUAAAGUCAGUGUAGUGUUUAAUUCCAAAGACCCCCAUAUGUUAGUACUAGUAAUAGCCACCCAAAUUAGCAAAUCCUCCUGCCUCUGAUAUCAAGAUGAUCAUAAUAGUUCAGCAAGAUAUAAGUUAAUUAUAUAUACACACAAAAAUAACUAUGUAUUUUGCUAAGAAUCACUAACUAUAAAGGAUAAUCAAAACUCUGCUCUGUUUGAGCUUAUUUUCUGAAGGUUAUUAAAUACGAUAUUAGUGUAGAAUAAUAUUAUGGUAUCUUAUCUUUAUUUGGGGUAACAAGAAAACUUCUGUCUUAGGUUGCUAAAAGCUGCUAGGAGCAAUAUACCAGAAAUGGGUUGGCUUUUUAUAAUGGGAAUUUAUUGGUUUAAAGCUUGCAGUUCUGGAGGCUGUGAAAAUGUCCAAAUCAAGGCGCAAUCAGAGCUGCUGUUUCCCCCUAGGCGGCCGCUGGCGAUGCUGGACUGCUGCCGAUCUGGGGCUCUGCCUUCCCCCCAGGCUUCCUUUCUGCCCCAGCUCAGCUGUGGCUGAUGAGGCUUAUGGCUCAGCUCUCCCCUCUCCUCCCGGUCUCUUCCAGGUUUGGGAUUUGUGUAUCUCUGCUGCUUUUUCUCUGUGUCUCUUUCAGCCCUCUGCUUAGCAAGAACUCCAGCAAGAAGACCAAGACACACCCAGGGUCAGGCCUCACUGAAGCCAUCCAAUCAAAGCCCCCCACCCCCAACUGAAUCUAAUCCAAUCAAAGCCCCCACCCCAACUGAAUCUAGUCCAAUUAAAGCCCCCACUCCCCAAUUGAGUCUAAUCCAAUCAAGCCCCCAAUUGAAUCUAAUUCAAUUAAAGCCCUCACCCCCCCCCCCCACUCUAAUCCAAUCAAAGG
This 1881-nucleotide long non-coding RNA is filed under the name Dasypus novemcinctus (nine-banded armadillo). RNAcentral describes it as "lncRNA (ENSDNOG00000052994.1)". Lineage: Eukaryota; Metazoa; Chordata; Mammalia; Cingulata; Dasypodidae. The record is from RNAcentral.